This 487-nucleotide ribosomal RNA is filed under the name uncultured bacterium. RNAcentral describes it as "bacterial SSU rRNA". It matches the Rfam family "Bacterial small subunit ribosomal RNA", at positions 501 to 987 of the family's 1533-position model. The record is from RNAcentral.
CUACGUGCCAGCAGCCGCGGUAAUACGUAGGGUGCGAGCGUUAAUCGGAAUUACUGGGCGUAAAGCGAGCGCAGACGGUUACUUAAGCAGGAUGUGAAAUCCCCGGGCUCAACCUGGGAACUGCGUCCUGAACUGGGUGACUAGAGUGUGUCAGAGGGAGGUAGAAUUCCACGUGUAGCAGUGAAAUGCGUAGAGAUGUGGAGGAAUACCGAUGGCGAAGGCAGCCUCCUGGGAUAACACUGACGUUCAUGCCCGAAAGCGUGGGUAGCAAACAGGAUUAGAUACCCUGGUAGUCCACGCCCUAAACGAUGUCGAUUAGCUGUUGGGCAGCAUGACUGCUUAGUAGCGAAGCUAACGCGUGAAAUCGACCGCCUGGGGAGUACGGUCGCAAGAUUAAAACUCAAAGGAAUUGACGGGGACCCGCACAAGCGGUGGAUGAUGUGGAUUAAUUCGAUGCAACGCGAAGAACCUUACCUGGUCUUGACAU